UCUGUCCUGGGGGCUAGAGAUGGCUAAAAGUGCGAUCUUAGGAGCGUACAUCUGAGAGGCAGCAACUGCGGAAACGCGGCUGCGGGUCCAGGAGGAGCUCGGGAGGCGGCUGUGGCUGCAGCUGCAGAGUGGAGCGCAAGCGCCCUGUGUGCCUGUGGAAGGCUUGGUGGCCUUCCCGAGGCUGCGGUUUUGCUGUCGUUGAGUGAGUUUGAUAGCUUGUGAGGCUAAGUUACUGUCGUGGCGGCCGUGCCUUGGAGCAUAUGAUGGCUGGAUGAGAGCUUGCUGGAGGAGAUCGGCGAGUCUUGGCGCUGGAGCACUACCUUCCCAGGACUCUGCUCUUACCCCGGAAGGAUGACCCAGAAGAAGAGGGUGUUUAGAGUUUCCAUGGAGUAAAACACUCAGCUAGACAUACACUAGGUGCUCAGUAGGCAUCGGACUUGGAGCCGAGGAGACCUUCCUGUCCAUCUUCUCUUCCUACAAUGCUACCAACUCCAGCCUUCCCCAAGGAGGCUCAUGGUCAACAGAGGUCCUGGAUAAUCAGGAACUCCAUCUACUUUGUACCUUCAUCCUCUGGAACUCAUGACGUCCUCAUACUCAAAGAACAAAGCAUACCAACUCUUAAAUUCUUUGGUUUAGAAGCACUAAACAUCAUUCAAGCACUAUUUAUGGGCCACAGGCCAGCACUGAUCACAUGGCUCUUCCUAAUUGCAUGGGGUCAGGUCGAGGUGGAGGAGGAAGGGACUGGGAAAUAUAAAGAAACAAAUAGGAUAUUUGCUGAGCACUACUGUGUGAACCACAGGGACCUUCUACUAGAGGGGCUUGGAUGACUUGUUUCACAUAUGGCUUAAAAAUCCUUGGAGGCUUGUUUUGUUGGGAAUUGUUAUGGCUGUUUUAUUUGUGUGUGUGCCUGUGUGUUUGCAGUCAUAGCUCAUUGGAGACUUCAGUAUCUCUGCUAUUUCUGUACUUUACUCUUACCAUUUUAUUCACGCAUGCAUUCAUUCACUCAUUCAACAACUAUUUAUUGAACACCUACUGUGGGGCAAAAAUUUCUGCCCUCAUAAAGGUGCUAUUUGAAUGGGAUCAGAUAAUUGACACAAUGAACAUAUGAUGCCUGGCAAGUGGUGAAGAAAAAUAAAGCAGUGAGGGGAUAUGAAGUGCCA
This 1160-nucleotide long non-coding RNA is filed under the name Felis catus (domestic cat). Its description in RNAcentral is "lncRNA (ENSFCAG00000041659.2)". The record is from RNAcentral. Lineage: Eukaryota; Metazoa; Chordata; Mammalia; Carnivora; Felidae.